This 447-nucleotide ribosomal RNA is filed under the name uncultured bacterium. Its description in RNAcentral is "bacterial SSU rRNA". It matches the Rfam family "Bacterial small subunit ribosomal RNA", at positions 227 to 695 of the family's 1533-position model. The record is from RNAcentral.
GGGCUUGCGUCCGAUUAGCUAGUUGGUGGGGUAAUGGCCUACCAAGGUUAUGAUCGGUAGCUGGUCUGAGAGGACGGUCAGCCACACUGGGACUGAGACACGGCCCAGACUCCUACGGGAGGCAGCAGCAGGGAAUAUUGGGCAAUGGGCGAAAGCCUGACCCAGCGACGCCGCGUGAGGGAUGAAGGGCUUCGGUUCGUAAACCUCUUUUCUCAGGGAUGUGACAGUACCUGGGGAAUAAGUCACGGCUAACUACGUGCCAGCAGCCGCGGUAAAACGUAGGUGGCGAGCGUUAUCCGGAUUUACUGGGCGUAAAGCGGGCGCAGGCGGCUCUUCAAGUCGGAUGUAAAAUCUCCCGGCUCAACUGGGAGGGACCAUCCGAUACUGUUGAGCUAGAGGACAGCAGAGGAAGGUAGAAUUCCCGGUGUAGUGGUGGAAUGCGUAGAU